UACGGCCCGCGGUAGGUUUC
Molecule: unclassified non-coding RNA, 20 nt
Filed under: Chlamydomonas reinhardtii
Lineage: Eukaryota; Viridiplantae; Chlorophyta; Chlorophyceae; Chlamydomonadales; Chlamydomonadaceae
Description: small RNA Cre_2228
Source: RNAcentral